ACUAAAUAUCAGACAUAUUCCU
Molecule: microRNA, 22 nt
Filed under: Gadus morhua (Atlantic cod)
Lineage: Eukaryota; Metazoa; Chordata; Actinopteri; Gadiformes; Gadidae
Description: gmo-miR-190b-3p
Gene: gmo-miR-190b-3p
Source: miRBase by way of RNAcentral